GGCUUAGGUACAAAGGGCAUUUGAUAAAAUUGGAAUGAUACAGAGAAGAUUAGCAUGACCCCUACACAAGGUCCACCCAAAGAGGACAUUACAUAAGUUA
Molecule: small nuclear RNA, 100 nt
Filed under: Olea europaea subsp. europaea
Lineage: Eukaryota; Viridiplantae; Streptophyta; Magnoliopsida; Lamiales; Oleaceae
Source: RNAcentral